AAGCCGCGCUUUCUGCUCCGGUGUGCCAAGCGUCGCCGCCAGCAGGCAGGCUUGCGGCUCCAGGCUAAUACGCAUCACCAGAAAAUGAUCCACCACCUGAUGAAAAUUUUCUUCCGUCAUCCACCAGGUCAGCAGCUCUUGAUCCAGAAAGUUCCAGUUUCCCUGCGGCAUCACCCGCGUACCAAUGCGCGGACGGGGUAGCACCAUACCUUUAGCCGUCAACGUUUUCACCGCUUCGCGAACUGCCGUUCGACUUACGCCGUACUGCUCGCCCAGUUCUAUUUCGCCGGGAAGAAUCGUACCGGGGGCGUAGUCACCCUUUAAUAUCCGCUGCGCCAGCUUUUCAGCCAGAACAUAGGAUAGAUUUUUCUGUGCGGCUAAUUGUUGUGCGCUUAAAGGCAUGAAUGUUCUUCCUUUCUCUUUCGUUUGGUUAUUAGUAUGCCACCUGGAAGUGUGAUUGCAGUUGCAAUAACGGCAAUUUGCUUAUUUUAUGGCACGUUAAGCCCGCUGUUGAUGAAAAAAGAGACACUUAGAAAAUUAUUUUAAAUUUCCUCUUGUCAGGCAGAAAUAACUCCCUAUAAUGCGCCAC
RNAcentral lists this ribosomal RNA (589 nucleotides) under Salmonella enterica subsp. enterica serovar Alachua str. R6-377. Its description in RNAcentral is "partial large subunit ribosomal RNA". Lineage: Bacteria; Pseudomonadati; Pseudomonadota; Gammaproteobacteria; Enterobacterales; Enterobacteriaceae. The record is from RNAcentral.